RNAcentral lists this ribosomal RNA (496 nucleotides) under uncultured bacterium. RNAcentral's name for it is "partial 16S ribosomal RNA". It matches the Rfam family "Bacterial small subunit ribosomal RNA", at positions 28 to 507 of the family's 1533-position model. The record is from RNAcentral.
GAUGAACGCUGGCGGCGUGCCUAAUACAUGCAAGUCGAGCGAACAGACGAGGAGCUUGCUCCUCUGACGUUAGCGGCGGACGGGUGAGUAACACGUGGAUAACCUACCUAUAAGACUGGGAAACUUCGGGAAACCGGAGCUAAUACCGGAUAAUAUAUUGAACCGCAUGGUUCAAUAGUGAAAGACGGUUUUGCUGUCACUUAUAGAUGGAUCCGCGCCGCAUUAGCUAGUUGGUAAGGUAACGGCUUACCAAGGCGACGAUGCGUAGCCGACCUGAGAGGGUGAUCGGCCACACUGGAACUGAGACACGGUCCAGACUCCUACGGGAGGCAGCAGUAGGGAAUCUUCCGCAAUGGGCGAAAGCCUGACGGAGCAACGCCGCGUGAGUGAUGAAGGUCUUCGGAUCGUAAAACUCUGUUAUUAGGGAAGAACAAAUGUGUAAGUAACUAUGCACGUCUUGACGGUACCUAAUCAGAAAGCCACGGCUAACUACGUG